Molecule: unclassified non-coding RNA, 260 nt
Filed under: Hevea brasiliensis (rubber tree)
Lineage: Eukaryota; Viridiplantae; Streptophyta; Magnoliopsida; Malpighiales; Euphorbiaceae
Source: RNAcentral
AUUUUAUCAAACACUUAAAAUACAUUAACUAUAAUCAACCAACAACAAUAAGCAAAAGCUAUCAAUUAUCUAUUAUUUAUUAUCAAUCAUCAAUUAUAUUCAACAAUUAAAUUAAAUAAACUCUUGGUGCUAAGAAAAAUACUUUUCAUCUAAGCCAAUUAUUUCACACCAUCAUUCCUCAUCAUUAUACAAAAGUUUAUGACAACCAAUUGUCCAUAUGCCCAUUUUUUUUUUUUUUUAUAUAAAAAAAAAAUUUUUUU